This 450-nucleotide ribosomal RNA is filed under the name uncultured bacterium. RNAcentral describes it as "partial 16S ribosomal RNA". It matches the Rfam family "Bacterial small subunit ribosomal RNA", at positions 29 to 523 of the family's 1533-position model. The record is from RNAcentral.
AGCGAACGCUGGCGGCAGGCCUAACACAUGCAAGUCGAACGAACUCUUCGGAGUUAGUGGCGGACGGGUGAGUAACACGUGGGAACGUGCCUUUAGGUUCGGAAUAACUCAGGGAAACUUGUGCUAAUACCGAAUGUGCCCUUCGGGGGAAAGAUUUAUCGCCUUUAGAGCGGCCCGCGUCUGAUUAGCUAGUUGGUGAGGUAAAGGCUCACCAAGGCGACGAUCAGUAGCUGGUCUGAGAGGAUGAUCAGCCACAUUGGGACUGAGAACACGGCCCAAACCCCUACGGGAGGCAGCAGUGGGGAAUCUUGCGCAAUGGGCGAAAGCCUGACGCAGCCAUGCCGCGUGAAUGAUGAAGGUCUUAGGAUUGUAAAAUUCUUUCACCGGGGACGAUAAUGACGGUACCCGGAGAAGAAGCCCCGGCUAACUUCGUGCCAGCCGCCGCAGUAA